AUAAAGUUUAGCAACAAUGAGAGUAUUUCAAAUAAUAAUCGUAGUGGCUUGCGUUAUUGCUGCCGUCACCUGUAAUCCUGAAAACUUUAUGAGUGGACAAGGUAAUACUGGUAAUAGGCAGUCAUAUAUAGGUGGAACUUUAGGCAAAUAAUCGUUAGAUGUUGAUGACAAUGUCUUAUUGUCAGUUUCACUGACCAUUAAAAAUCUAUUAAAUGUCAUUGCUUAAGCUUAAAAAUUGCAAUAAUUAGAAAAAAAUAUUUUUUUGUUAUGAAUAAAGGAAUUUUAUAAAACAAAA
Molecule: long non-coding RNA, 295 nt
Organism: Calliphora vicina (urban bluebottle blowfly)
Lineage: Eukaryota; Metazoa; Arthropoda; Insecta; Diptera; Calliphoridae
Exons: 2
Source: RefSeq, a predicted model, not a curated record